GUUUGAUCAUGGCUCAGAUUGAACGCUGGCGGCAGGCUUAACACAUGCAAGUCGAGCGGGGGAAGGUAGCUUGCUACUGGACCUAGCGGCGGACGGGUGAGUAAUGCUUAGGAAUCUGCCUAUUAGUGGGGGACAACAUCUCGAAAGGGAUGCUAAUACCGCAUACGUCCUACGGGAGAAAGCAGGGGAUCUUCGGACCUUGCGCUAAUAGAUGAGCCUAAGUCGGAUUAGCUAGUUGGUGGGGUAAAGGCCUACCAAGGCGACGAUCUGUAGCGGGUCUGAGAGGAUGAUCCGCCACACUGGGACUGAGACACGGCCCAGACUCCUACGGGAGGCAGCAGUGGGGAAUAUUGGACAAUGGGGGGAACCCUGAUCCAGCCAUGCCGCGUGUGUGAAGAAGGCCUUAUGGUUGUAAAGCACUUUAAGCGAGGAGGAGGCUACUUUAGUUAAUACCUAGAGAUAGUGGACGUUACUCGCAGAAUAAGCACCGGCUAACUCUGUGCCAGCAGCCGCGGUAAUACAGAGGGUGCGAGCGUUAAUCGGAUUUACUGGGCGUAAAGCGUGCGUAGGCGGCUUAUUAAGUCGGAUGUGAAAUCCCCGAGCUUAACUUGGGAAUUGCAUUCGAUACUGGUGAGCUAGAGUAUGGGAGAGGAUGGUAGAAUUCCAGGUGUAGCGGUGAAAUGCGUAGAGAUCUGGAGGAAUACCGAUGGCGAAGGCAGCCAUCUGGCCUAAUACUGACGCUGAGGUACGAAAGCAUGGGGAGCAAACAGGAUUAGAUACCCUGGUAGUCCAUGCCGUAAACGAUGUCUACUAGCCGUUGGGGCCUUUGAGGCUUUAGUGGCGCAGCUAACGCGAUAAGUAGACCGCCUGGGGAGUACGGUCGCAAGACUAAA
This 893-nucleotide ribosomal RNA is filed under the name Acinetobacter baumannii. Its description in RNAcentral is "bacterial SSU rRNA". It matches the Rfam family "Bacterial small subunit ribosomal RNA", at positions 11 to 898 of the family's 1533-position model. Lineage: Bacteria; Pseudomonadati; Pseudomonadota; Gammaproteobacteria; Moraxellales; Moraxellaceae. The record is from RNAcentral.